Molecule: long non-coding RNA, 258 nt
Filed under: Lathyrus oleraceus (garden pea)
Lineage: Eukaryota; Viridiplantae; Streptophyta; Magnoliopsida; Fabales; Fabaceae
Description: Pisum sativum (pea) long non-coding RNA (PSAT_LNC009852)
Source: RNAcentral
UUGCAUAUGUAUGUAUAUAGCUAAAUAAAAAAUUAGUUACAAGAAUAAGAACACAAGAGUUUAUAAUGAACCUCCUGCUCACAUAGUCACCCUACUAUUUGCCCUUGAUUCCCAAGGUCUACAUAUCACUCUAAGAAUGAAUUAUAAAAAAUAAACAGAGAGAUUGAUCUUAUAUAGAGGGAUCAAUCUCUGCAACUUCUCAAACAACUAACUAAUUAAUCCCUAAAAAUUAGGAUAGUUAGUUACGAAGAACAAAAC